This is a long non-coding RNA of Rosa chinensis, 1195 nucleotides long. RefSeq lists it as uncharacterized. The transcript is spliced from 4 exons. The record is from RefSeq and is a predicted model, not a curated record. Lineage: Eukaryota; Viridiplantae; Streptophyta; Magnoliopsida; Rosales; Rosaceae.
GAUAGAGGGGUGAGGUGAGAAAGAGGCACACAGAGGACCGAGAGAGAGAGAGAGAGAGAGAGAGAGAGAGAGAGAGUGAGUCAGUGAGGUGAGAGAAGGAAGGGAGUGGAAGUGGGAGUCUGAGUUCUGACACCACCGGAGGGAGCGGGUCCUCCUCCACAAAAGCUAGAGCCUCUCAAAGGUUUUGAUCGGAGAAAUUGGAGGAAGAUCGCGGUCGACCCACUCGGAGCGGUGGCUGUUCGACGUCGAUAAAGCAAUGGUGACGGAGGCUUCUGUGAGGGUUUACCCAGUCGGAGUUCCUCACGGUGAGGCGGUCCAGAUUUUUCAGCACCGUUAAUAUGAAAUUCCGGAUUGAGAGUUUGAGACCAAAGACCCAGUUCAAUUUACUUCACAAACUGAUACAGGAUUGGAAAAUGGGAUGAGGCGAUUGGGACAUGCCUUUUAUUCAAAGAAGAAGUUGUCCCUGUUGUUCAUGAAGAAAAAGGACCAUCAGAAGCAAACUCUUUUGCUGGCAAAUGCAUAGUUGAUCAAAACCAAUCUUCAAGCAAGCAAAACCACUUGGCUGCACUCAUAGGAUUCUUAAAUUCAGAUUGGCACCAGAUUUUGACUCUAAUACUACAUUUGCACCGACUCAGCAAGUAAAUUUGUAGAAGUUUUGUAGCAACUCCGAGAUUGAAAUGGUACGAGACUAUGAGAGUUGCGGAUUUUCAACGACCCAAACGCUCUCUGGGACGUGAUGUUCACUCACUGUUUUGGACUUUUUCUGCCCUGAUAAAUUAAUAGGGAAUUUUGAAUUUCCCGCGCUUUCUCGCUGGCUGCAAUGAAAGGAAGUUUGUGGUUAGGUAAAAUUGAACGCCUGAACGGUACCAUUGCAGCCCUGUGUGUGAUGAUCAUAAACAAGCCCAAAGCUAAUUUAGCUACUGCCCAAACCUACAAUAGCUAAUUAAAUGCAUCUCAACAAAUGUAUCCAAGUUUAAUAGAAGGAAGUGGAUGGAUUAUUUACAUAGAGUUAAUAUAUAUCCCACCAUUAAUAUUGUGAGGAUUAAUGGAAAAGAUAAGUUUCCCUUAUGAGAUAAUCGAUUUUCUUCUUUCAAACGAUUGAAAGUUAGCUCUGUGCGCAAUGAACGUGAGGAUGAAGAAGAAUAUCUGUUGCUUGAUCUUGAUUCAGUUUACUCGAAGCUUCACAUUCCACCAA